This 253-nucleotide ribosomal RNA is filed under the name uncultured bacterium. RNAcentral describes it as "partial 16S ribosomal RNA". It matches the Rfam family "Bacterial small subunit ribosomal RNA", at positions 524 to 776 of the family's 1533-position model. The record is from RNAcentral.
UACGUAGGCAGCGAGCGUUGUUCGGAGUUACUGGGCGUAAAGAGCGCGCAGGCGGUCGUUCAAGUCGAGUGUGAAAGCCCCCGGCUCAACUGGGGAGGGUCACUCGAUACUGAUCGACUGGAAGGCAGGAGAGGGAAGCGGAAUUCCCGGUGUAGUGGUGAAAUGCGUAGAUAUCGGGAGGAACACCAGUGGCGAAGGCGGCUUCCUGGCCUGUUCUUGACGCUGAGGCGCGAAAGCUAGGGGAGCAAACGGG